RNAcentral lists this ribosomal RNA (403 nucleotides) under Verrucomicrobiota bacterium. Its description in RNAcentral is "Verrucomicrobia bacterium partial 16S ribosomal RNA". It matches the Rfam family "Bacterial small subunit ribosomal RNA", at positions 355 to 776 of the family's 1533-position model. The record is from RNAcentral. Lineage: Bacteria; Pseudomonadati; Verrucomicrobiota.
UGGGGAAUAUUGCACAAUGGGCGCAAGCCUGAUGCAGCAACGCCGCGUGAACGAUGAAGGUCUUCGGAUCGUAAAGUUCUGUUGCAGGGGAAGAUACUGACGGUACCCUGUGAGGAAGCCCCGGCUAACUACGUGCCAGCAGCCGCGGUAAUACGUAGGGGGCUAGCGUUAUCCGGAUUUACUGGGCGUAAAGGGUGCGUAGGUGGUCUUUCAAGUCGGUGGUUAAAGGCUACGGCUCAACCGUAGUUAGCCUCCGAAACUGGAAGACUUGAGUGCAGGAGAGGAAAGUGGAAUUCCCAGUGUAGCGGUGAAAUGCGUAGAUAUUGGGAGGAACGCCAGUAGCGAAGGCGGCUUUCUGGACUGCAACUGACACUGAGGCACGAAAGCGUGGGUAGCAAACAGG